This 253-nucleotide ribosomal RNA is filed under the name uncultured bacterium. Its description in RNAcentral is "partial 16S ribosomal RNA". It matches the Rfam family "Bacterial small subunit ribosomal RNA", at positions 524 to 776 of the family's 1533-position model. The record is from RNAcentral.
UACGGAGGGUGCGAGCGUUAAUCGGAAUAACUGGGCGUAAAGGGCACGUAGGCGGGCUUUUAAGUGAGAUGUGAAAUCCCCGGGCUCAACCUGGGAAUAGCAUUUGAGACUGGGAGGCUAGAGUACUUUAGGGGGGGGUAGAAUUCCACGUGUAGCGGUGAAAUGCGUAGAGAUGUGGAGGAAUACCGAUGGCGAAGGCAGCCCCCUGGAAAUGUACUGACGCUGAGGUGCGAAAGCGUGGGGAGCAAACAGG